GAGGGCGCGCUAGAGGAGGACGGAGCUGGAUUGCACCAAGUCGUGGGCGACGGGUCUAGACCCCCCGGAUCGACGCUGAGGCGUUGCAGUGGUACACCAAACCAGUCAUGGCGGUAUGUAUCAAUUUGCAGGCGAUUCUUCAUUGUGUGCGUUUCUGGCCGUUGUUGGAGUCUUAGUCAGGCGACCGUUCAGGAGAAGAUGCAGGGGUUGCGAGGCGAGGCAAGUAGGCGGUUCUCACCACGCCUCUAUGUUCUAUCUGGCCCUAGCAGGAAUUCAUGGGCAGAUGAGCGAGGGGAGACUGGUGCUCCAUUGAUUAUCUGGAGGGAUAUUAAUAGAUGCCUUGACAAAUGAUCCUUGAGAAAUUGGAGGAUAAAUGGUGACAUCAUAAAUGCACAUUUAGUUCAUUAGAUGCAUACGACAUCAAUUCAUAUAGAAAAAGGGAAACAAGUAAACCACAAGGCAAAUGUCUCCUUAUUUCUUAGUACUGGUUUACAUCAGGCCAAACCCGUGCACAAUAGCUUCAUUUCUUUCUGGACCUCACAUGCACCUUAUUUUCUACUCUACUUCUGAAAGUGAGCAUAUGAAUAUAAUGCCUUCUGAGUGAAAUAAGAAACUGCAGUUGAACGCGAGUUAGCAAGGCUGUGGCUUCAUGAGUUUCUGUAAUGUCUUAGGGACUUUUAUCU
This is a long non-coding RNA of Lolium rigidum, 683 nucleotides long. RefSeq lists it as uncharacterized. The record is from RefSeq and is a predicted model, not a curated record. The transcript is spliced from 3 exons. Lineage: Eukaryota; Viridiplantae; Streptophyta; Magnoliopsida; Poales; Poaceae.